Long non-coding RNA from Marmota flaviventris (yellow-bellied marmot), 1466 nucleotides. RefSeq lists it as uncharacterized. NCBI's taxonomy places the organism in Eukaryota, Metazoa, Chordata, Mammalia, Rodentia, Sciuridae. The record is from RefSeq and is a predicted model, not a curated record.
UAUUCUCUCAACCUGAAAGUUUAUAGAUGGUGUGUCAUUUAUAGUAAGUCUCCAGAAUAUUCUCUCAAAUUUCUCUUGUAAUAACUGUCCCAAGCAGUUUAUGAAAUUAUGAAGACAAGAGAUUGAAGUGGAUAAUCCGAGGAGCAAAGGCUUGCGGGGCAGGGGGGAUCCUAAACCAGGGCCCCCUGAAGGAGGCAAAGGCCACUCACAGAGGGUGCAAGGCUUCUGGGAAGUUGCUCGAGAAGUUGAGUCUAUAUGGAGAGUGCUGAAGAGGCCCCACCCAUCCCCAUCGCGAGGACCGCAGCUGCCAAGCCAGCCUGGUGAUGUCUCCUCGCAGGCCUGCUCUGCCGAGAACGCCGUGAGCAGAAUCCCGUUUAAUCUUCUCAACAACCCUUUGUAACCCUGAGAAAAGCCACCAGCCCCAUUUCCCAUCUCUGAAUGAUCUUGUGCAGAUGUGACCCAUAGAAGUUCUUCAAAUCUUUGGAGCCCAGCCACAGAUGUGUUGCAAUCUUAGAAGUUGUGACCACCAGUUUCUGUCACUGAGCCUCGGCCCUCUCGGUGCAGUACUGUGCUCCUGCGCAAGGCAUGCAGGCCUGUGCCCCAGGCUGAAUAGCCCAAAAAGAAAAUCCUGUAACCAGAGGAGUGAAAUUCCUGGUUGGAGUGAAUGAAGCAAAAAGUUUAACCCCUGCCUUGUGAUAGGAUGAACACAUCAGAGCAUUCUGUGAGCCCUGCAUGUCCCUGGGAGUCACCAAAGAGCCUCUGAAACUCUUGAGACCAAGGGCACUUGUUCCCCCGGCUGCUGCUCAUCAAGACUUUUCUCCAGUAUGAAGUAGCCUGAUGACUGACCUAGAGUGCGCUCAUCUCUCAAAGACAGCGUCUCUCUCCUGUGAAUCCCCCAAUGAUGAGAAAGAGCUAAGCAGGCCCAUGUGAUCCUACCCAUUAGCCUCUCUCCAGGGUGACCUAAUGUCCCCGCAGCCACGCUACCCCUAGACGGUCUGCCAUAUUCAUGACACCUGACCAGCAUAAGGCCCAUUUGAGUCCAUUGGUAUUGUCCAAGGAUAGGACUCUGAUGAAGCCACCUCUUCCUCCAUUAUGCUUCCAGGACCCCUCUCUGCUGCAAACUCCCAGAUGUCUGGCUGGUGCCAAGCACUAUUUAAAGACAGUCGUUUGUUUGCAUUCAUCACAUGCAUAUGGUUUUUCUCCAGUGUGACUUCUCUGAUGUUGAAUGAGCUUUGCUUUCUGAAAGCCCUCCCACAUUUUAUCACAUCUGUAGUUUCUGUUGCAUGUGACAUAGCCAGUGCCGUGGGGGGGUGCUGACAGAUGCCUCUCCCCACCCACUCUCUACAAGAUGAGUGUUAUUUCCAAAGGACUGGAGCCCCAAGGAAAUUGCCUGUAUUCACAACAGUCAAAGCUGUUCUCUCCGAUAUGAAACUGUAACACUGAAUAAAUCCGGAAUCCUUACCCAA